RNAcentral lists this ribosomal RNA (401 nucleotides) under uncultured bacterium. RNAcentral describes it as "bacterial SSU rRNA". It matches the Rfam family "Bacterial small subunit ribosomal RNA", at positions 359 to 776 of the family's 1533-position model. The record is from RNAcentral.
GAAUCUUCCGCAAUGCGCGAAAGCGUGACGGAGCAAUGCCGCGUGCAGGAUGAAGCCCCUCGGGGUGUAAACUGCUGUCAGGGUUCAGCAACACAAUGAGCAGACCCAAAGGAAGGGCCGGCUAACUUCGUGCCAGCAGCCGCGGUAAUACGAAGGGCCCGAGCGUUGCGCGGAAUCACUGGGCUUAAAGCGUACGUAGGCGGGCGUGCAGGCACUUUGUGAAAUCCCCCGGCUCAACCGGGGAAUUGCUUGGUGAACCGCACGUCUUGAGACGAGUAGGGGCUGUCGGAACGAUAGGUGGAGCGGUGAAAUGCGUUGAUAUCUAUCGGAACGCCAAAGGUGAAAACAGGCCGCUGGGCUUGUUCUGACGCUGAGGUACGAAAGCGUGGGGAGCGAACGGG